CNGGGAGGGCAAGUCUGGUGCCAGCAGCCGCGGUAAUUCCAGCUCCAAUAGCGUAUAUUAAAGUUGUUGCAGUUAAAAAGCUCGUAGUUGAAUUUCGAGACCGGUUUACUGGUCGUGCUUUUGUACGUACUGGUAUUAUUGGUUUCUCCUUUCUGACGAAUCAUAAUGCCAUUAAUUUGGUGUUUUGGGGAAUCAGGACUGUUACUUUGAAAAAAUUAGAGUGUUUAAAGCAGGCUCACGCUUGAAUACAUUAGCAUGGAAUAACGAAAUAGGACGUUUGAUUUUAUUUUGUUGGUUUCUAGGAUCGACGUAAUGAUUAAUAGGGAUAGUUGGGGGCAUUAGUAUUCAAUUGUCAGAGGUGAAAUUCUUGGAUUUAUUGAAGACUAACUACUGCGAAAGCAUUUGCCAAGGAUGUUUUCAUUAAUCAAGAACGAAAGUUAGGGGAUCGAAGACGAUCAGAUACCGUCGUAGUCUUAACCAUAAACUAUGCCGACUAGGGAUCGGAUGAUGU
Molecule: ribosomal RNA, 511 nt
Filed under: uncultured Glomus
Lineage: Eukaryota; Fungi; Glomeromycota; Glomeromycetes; Glomerales; Glomeraceae
Description: SSU rRNA
Rfam family: Eukaryotic small subunit ribosomal RNA
Source: RNAcentral